RNAcentral lists this ribosomal RNA (478 nucleotides) under uncultured bacterium. RNAcentral describes it as "partial 16S ribosomal RNA". It matches the Rfam family "Bacterial small subunit ribosomal RNA", at positions 28 to 523 of the family's 1533-position model. The record is from RNAcentral.
GACGAACGCUGGCGGCGUGCUUAACACAUGCAAGUCGAACGGUAAGGCCCUUCGGGGUACACGAGUGGCGAACGGGUGAGUAACACGUGGGUGAUCUGCCCUGCACUUCGGGAUAAGCCUGGGAAACUGGGUCUAAUACCGGAUAGGACCACUGCCUGCAUGGGUGGUGGUGGAAAGCUUUUGCGGUGUGGGAUGGGCCGGCGGCCUAUCAGCUUGUUGGUGGGGUGAUGGCCUACCAAGGCGACGACGGGUAGCCGGCCUGAGAGGGUGACCGGUCACAAUGGGACUGAGAUACGGCCCAGACUCCUACGGGAGGCAGCAGUGGGGAAGAUUGCACAAUGGGCGCAAGCCUGAUGCAGCGACGCCGCGUGAGGGAUGACGGCCUUCGGGUUGUAAACCUCUUUCAGCUAUGACGAAGCGCAAGUGACGGUAGUAGCAGAAGAAGGACCGGCCAACUACGUGCCAGCCGCCGCGGUAA